CGUUUGUAAGUAAUGACGUAGGUACUGACCUAGUAACGGCGAGUGAAGCGGCAACAGCUCAAAUUUGAAAUCUGGCUCUCGGGCCCGAGUUGUAAUUUGUAGAGGAUGUUUUUGAUGCGGUGCCUUCCGAGUUCCCUGGAACGGGACGCCAUAGAGGGAGAGAGCCCUGGCUGGCUUUGGUUUAAGUGAAAAGGAUCUCUUGCAUUUGGCCUCCAUGAUGAACCCAACCCAAUACGAUGAAUGAGCGAAUUGCUGAAUUUUCUCCUCCUCUUCCGUGCGGCGCUUCUUGGCGAAAAUGGUAUUCUCUCAUUCUUGCCUGUUCGAACGCCAUUUCAUUCCUCAAGCCAGCGGGCUUGAUGUUACGUGAAAUUGAUGAUUUAGAGGUUGUGAGAUCAAACUUUCUGCUUACCUCCCUGCUAUGACCGUGGCCGGGUGCCCCUCGUGUGAUACGGUUUCACCGUGCUUCCCGACCCUCGCUAGUGGCAUAGGAAUCGUGUUACUCCUAUCUUGAACGAUUAAAGCUUAAGUUAAUUGAUUUCGCCUAGGACAACGACCGCUUUUUUUAUCAAAGGAGCGGGGAAUCUCGAUUUCGAAAGGUUCCUCUUCCAUUCCGUACUGUUGACAACCCACCUAUGUUAAGGGAUGGUUGGUAAAAUAGGAUCCGCACAAUGAGAGUGAACCCAUACGAGCGCCCCGUUCUGAGUGCUCAAAGACCUAUCCAGAUUUCCUCUAAUGGAAUUACUUCCGAGAGUGUCUGUUGUACUCAUGGUAUGGGUUCACUAGCUCU
This 787-nucleotide ribosomal RNA is filed under the name Fusarium sp. Its description in RNAcentral is "partial large subunit ribosomal RNA". Lineage: Eukaryota; Fungi; Ascomycota; Sordariomycetes; Hypocreales; Nectriaceae. The record is from RNAcentral.